This 3661-nucleotide long non-coding RNA is filed under the name Oryza sativa (Asian cultivated rice). Lineage: Eukaryota; Viridiplantae; Streptophyta; Magnoliopsida; Poales; Poaceae. The record is from RNAcentral.
GGCAUCGACCUUGGCACGACCUACUCGUGCGUGGGCGUUUGGCAGCACGACCGCGUGGAGAUCAUCGCCAACGACCAGGGCAACCGCACCACCCCCUCCUACGUCGGCUUCACCGACUCCGAGAGGCUCAUCGGAGAUGCUGCCAAGAACCAGGUCGCCAUGAACCCCAUCAACACCGUCUUUGGUAACUACUUAUUCCCUGCUCCUCAGUCCUCUCUCUUUCUCUCUCUCCCCCCUUAGAUCUCAUCUCUAAGGUCUUCGUCGUCGUCGUAUGCUAGAUCUACUCUUGCCCAGCUCGUUCAGAUCUGUUAGAUUUGUGUGGGAUGCUCUAAUUAAUUACUACCAACUUAGUAGAUCUGGAACUCUUUUGACUUGCAGAUCUUGCUCCACUCCUGUUGCAUUUUGAAUCUGUGUUGAUGUGAUUUAAGUUGUUGGCAGUGCUUUUUGCAUACUAUUUGAAUUUGUGGAUGGUUAGCAGUCAGUACACUAGGAUUUAUUACUGGAUCUGGACAGAUAUGCUCGUUUCAAUCGGCUCGAUUUGCUAUGUUGAUAGCUAACAUGUUGUGCUUGUCCUACUGCCCUGGCGCAAAUUUGAUCCAUGCAUUCUUUUCGUUAAAUGAUUUGUCAAGUAGUAAUGCUUGUUUGAAAAUGAUAUUAUUAUUAUUAUUAUUAUUUUAAAUAAAUAUAGCCUGAAACAUUCUUAGUUUCGAGGAGAAGUGAUGAUGUCUUAUCCAUACCACAUGUCUGCAUCUCAUAUGAUGAUUAAUCUACAUCAUGCACUACCAUCUGAUCUCCUCUAGCUCAUACAGCUUUUAACAAGUUAGGCGAUAGAUGUUUGCUACAAACAGUCAACUGGAUUUGCUUUCUUGAAAGAAAAAAAAUGAACCGUGUAGUUUGCAACCUGUGAUGUAAAUUAACCCAUUUACUGAACUACAUUGAUUAUUUCAGUAAAAUCACCAUCUUUCGGCUGAGGUUGCAUGCUUAGUUAUUAUAUUUUUACCAAUGAUGAUUUUGUUAUGUAGCCAGAUACUGUACUUUCUUAUGCCAUUUGGUAUCUGACUCAUUGUCUACUUUUGUGACUAUGUGUCUCGAAAUAUGGCAUAUAAUAAGGGGGAACGGAUCUUGCGACAUUGAUGGCUCCUGUAUGAGCCUCCAAUUACUAUAUAGCCGUUUACAUGUUCUUAUCAUGUUACUUUUCCAAAUUAGUGCUGCACAUCUUGUCUGUUUGCAAGUUUGGGUUCAUUCAUAUUGCUGUGGGCAUUUUAAUACAUCUUAACUAUAAUGUAAAUUUCUUGUACAUCGCUAAAAUUUUCUGCCUUGAUUGAGUAGACUCUUAGAUGACAUCUAUCUUACCUUAUGCACUUGAUUCGUAUUUCUGUUACAACAUUUUGAUUACUUGAUGUAGUUCACACAAGCAUGACACAUCUCUUUGAAAAAAAGAUUUCAUUUUUUAAAGCAAGCCUAAUGCUUUAGGGUGGGAGAAGUGAUGAUACUUAAUCCAUACAACAUUUCUGCAUCUCAGAUGAUGAUCAAUCUACAUCAUGCACUACCAUCUGAUCUCCCCAUCAUACAAUUUUUUAUUUUGUUUUGUUGGAUUAUAUAACUUUAACAUUUGAUAAAGUGCCAACAGAUUUUUAUACACAAUUUCUUAUAGAUAUUACCAUGACAGCUUGCAGCCUGUGAUGCAAAAGUACCCAUUAAACUGAAUUACACUGAUUAUUCCAAACAAAUCACCAUCUUUCGGCUGAGGUUGCUUGCUUGUUUAAAAUUAUGAAUGCUUCUUGCACAACCAUUUAGGACUUUCGGUAGUUUGUAAUGCCAUUUGGUAUCUGACACAUGGUCUGCGCUUGUGACUAUUUGUCUUGAAAUAUGGCAUAAAACAAGGGGGAACGGAUCUUGCGACAUUGGUGGUUCCUCUAUGAUCCUCCAAUUACUAUAUAGCUGUUUACAAUUUGUUAAGUUAGGAGCAUACCUUUUGCUUUGUCAUCAAAGUCUUGGUUCCUUUGUAUUUCUAGUUCAGAUUCAUUUUUCUUCAGCUUUUGAAACAUAAACUCAGUAUAUUUUUACUGUAAUUGCUGACAUUGAGUCUUCUCUGCAGAUGCCAAGCGUCUCAUUGGCAGGAGGUUUAGCGAUGCUUCUGUUCAGAGUGACAUUAAGCUCUGGCCCUUCAAGGUGAUUGCUGGACCUGGUGACAAGCCUAUGAUUGUUGUCCAGUACAAGGGUGAGGAGAAGCAGUUUGCUGCAGAAGAGAUCUCCUCCAUGGUCCUCAUCAAGAUGCGUGAGAUUGCUGAGGCCUACCUUGGCACCACCAUCAAGAAUGCCGUUGUCACUGUUCCUGCCUACUUCAAUGACUCCCAGAGGCAGGCCACCAAGGAUGCUGGAGUGAUUGCUGGUCUCAAUGUCAUGCGUAUCAUCAACGAGCCGACUGCUGCAGCUAUUGCCUAUGGUCUUGAUAAGAAGGCCACCAGCGUUGGUGAGAAGAAUGUCCUCAUCUUUGACCUUGGAGGUGGUACCUUUGAUGUCUCCCUCCUUACCAUUGAGGAGGGUAUCUUUGAGGUCAAGGCCACAGCUGGUGACACCCAUCUUGGUGGUGAAGAUUUUGACAAUCGUAUGGUCAACCACUUUGUGCAAGAAUUCAAGAGGAAGAACAAGAAGGAUAUCACUGGCAACCCCAGGGCUCUCAGGAGGUUGAGGACAGCUUGUGAGAGGGCAAAGAGGACCCUGUCCUCCACUGCCCAGACCACCAUUGAGAUCGAUUCCCUGUAUGAGGGCAUCGACUUCUACUCAACCAUCACCCGUGCCAGGUUUGAGGAGCUCAACAUGGAUCUCUUCAGGAAGUGUAUGGAGCCUGUGGAGAAGUGCCUCAGGGAUGCUAAGAUGGACAAGAGCUCUGUUCAUGAUGUUGUCCUUGUUGGUGGCUCCACUAGGAUCCCGAGGGUGCAGCAGCUCCUGCAGGAUUUCUUCAACGGCAAGGAGCUUUGCAAGAACAUCAACCCAGAUGAGGCUGUUGCUUAUGGUGCUGCUGUCCAGGCUGCCAUCUUGAGUGGUGAGGGCAACGAGAAGGUCCAGGACCUCCUCCUGUUGGAUGUUACCCCUCUCUCUCUCGGUUUGGAGACUGCUGGUGGUGUCAUGACCGUUUUGAUCCCAAGGAACACCACCAUUCCCACCAAGAAGGAGCAGGUCUUCUCCACCUACUCCGACAACCAGCCUGGUGUGCUCAUCCAGGUUUAUGAGGGUGAGAGGACCAGGACACGUGACAACAACCUGCUGGGGAAGUUUGAGCUCUCUGGAAUCCCUCCUGCUCCCAGGGGUGUUCCACAGAUCACUGUUUGCUUCGACAUUGAUGCCAAUGGUAUCCUGAACGUGUCUGCUGAGGACAAGACCACCGGGCAGAAGAACAAGAUCACCAUUACCAACGACAAGGGCAGGCUUAGCAAGGAGGAGAUUGAGAAGAUGGUCCAGGAGGCCGAGAAGUACAAGUCAGAGGAUGAGGAGCACAAGAAGAAGGUGGAGUCCAAGAACGCGCUGGAGAACUACGCCUACAACAUGCGCAACACCAUCAAGGAUGAGAAGAUCGCCUCGAAGCUCCCGGCAGCGGACAAGAAGAAGAUCGAGGAUGCCAUCGACCAGGCCAUCCAGUGGCUGGACGGCAACCAGCUCG